Molecule: ribosomal RNA, 497 nt
Filed under: uncultured bacterium
Lineage: Bacteria
Description: partial 16S ribosomal RNA
Rfam family: Bacterial small subunit ribosomal RNA
Source: RNAcentral
GAUGAACGCUGGCGGCGUGCCUAAUACAUGCAAGUCGAGCGAACAGACGAGGAGCUUGCUCCUCUGACGUUAGCGGCGGACGGGUGAGUAACACGUGGAUAACCUACCUAUAAGACUGGGAUAACUUCGGGAAACCGGAGCUAAUACCGGAUAAUAUAUUGAACCGCAUGGUUCAAUAGUGAAAGACGGUUUUGCUGUCACUUAUAGAUGGAUCCGCGCCGCAUUAGCUAGUUGGUAAGGUAACGGCUUACCAAGGCAACGAUGCGUAGCCGACCUGAGAGGGUGACCGGCCACACGGGAACUGAGACACGGCCCCGACUCCUACGGGAGGCAGCAGUAGGGAAUCUUCCGCAAUGGGCGAAAGCCUGACGGAGCAACGCCGCGUGAGGGAUGAAGGUCUUCGGAUCGUAAAACUCUGUUAUUAGGGAAGAACAAAUGUGUAAGUAACUAUGCACGUCUUGACGGUACCUAAUCAGAAAGCCACGGCUAACUACGUG